UACAGAGGGAGCAAGCGUUAUCCGGAAUGAUUGGGCCCAUAGAGUCUGUAGGUGGUUUUUUAAGUCUACUGUUAAAUACGUUGGCUCAACCAACGGCGGGCAUUGGAGUACUAAUAAACUAGAGUAGGGUAGAGGUAAAGGGAAUCCCUAGUGUAACAGUGAAAUGUGUAGAUAUUAGGGAGAACACCAGCGGCGAAGGCGCUUUACUGGGCCCCAACUGACACUGAGAGACGAAAGCUAGACCAGCGAAUAGGAUUAGAUACCCUAGUAGUUCUAGCUGUAAACGAUGGAAACUAAGAGGGGGUAUACCCCCUACUGUAGCUAACGCGUUAAGUUUCCCGCCUGGGGAGUAUGCUCGCAAGAGUGAAACUCAAAGGAAUUGACGGGAGUCCACACAAUAGGUGGAUUAUGCGGUUUAAUUUGAUGCAACGCAAAGAACCUUACCAGGGUUUGACAUGUCUCGUAUUUUUCAGAAAUGGAAAAGUGUCUCCCCUUUCAAAAAGGGAGAAACGAGAACACAGGUGGUGCAUGGCUGUCGUCAGCUCGUGCGUUGACGUGUAUGGUUAAGUCCUGCAACGAGCGCAACCCUCGUCUUUAGUUACUUUUCAAGUUCUCUAAAGAGACUGCGCGCGCAAGCGCUAGGAAGGUGAGGAUGACGUCAAGUCAGCAUGCCCCUUAUACCCUGGGCGACACGCGUAAUACAAUGGUUGAGACAAUAAGAAGCUACCCCGCAAGGGCAAGCCAAUCUGCUAAACUCAACCCUAGUUCGGAUUGUAGGCUGCAACUCGCCUACAUGAAGCCGGAAUCUAUGGUAAUCGCCAGUCAGCCAUAUGGCGGUGAAUACGUUCCUGGACUCC
Molecule: ribosomal RNA, 857 nt
Filed under: uncultured bacterium
Lineage: Bacteria
Description: bacterial SSU rRNA
Rfam family: Bacterial small subunit ribosomal RNA
Source: RNAcentral